RNAcentral lists this ribosomal RNA (414 nucleotides) under Tremella phaeographinae. RNAcentral describes it as "eukaryotic LSU rRNA". It matches the Rfam family "Eukaryotic large subunit ribosomal RNA", at positions 1 to 417 of the family's 3401-position model. Lineage: Eukaryota; Fungi; Basidiomycota; Tremellomycetes; Tremellales; Tremellaceae. The record is from RNAcentral.
GACCUCAAAUCAGGUAGGACUACCCGCUGAACUUAAGCAUAUCAAUAAGCGGAGGAAAAGAAACCAACAGGGAUUCCCUUAGUAGCGGCGAGCGAACUGGGAUGAGCUCAAAUUUAAAAUCUGGCCUCUGGCCCGAGUUGUAAUUUGAAGAGUCAGUUUCGGUACCGGCUGUGUCCAAGUCCCUUGGAACAGGGCAUCAUGGAGGGUGAUAAUCCCGUGCUUGACACAAUCACCGGUGCCACUAGAAACCGUCUCAAAGAGUCGAGUUGUUUGGGAAUGCAGCUCUAAAUGGGUGGUAAAUUCCAUCUAAGGCUAAACAUUGGCGAGAGACCGAUAGCAUACAAGUACCGUGAGGGAAAGAUGAAAAGCACUUUGGAAAGAGAGUUAAACAGCACGUGAAAUUGUUGAAAGGGA